AUGUGGAGGCUAUAUACAGGGUAUUACGGUACAGAGUCAAUGUGGAGGCUAUAUACAGGGUAUUACGGUACAGAGUCAAUGUGGAGGCUAUAUACAGGGUAUUACGGUAUAGAGUCAAUGUGGAGGCUAUAUACAGGGUAUUACGGUAUAGAGUCAAUGUGGAGGCUAUAUACAGGGUAUUACGGUACAGAGUCAAUGUGGAGGCUAUAUACAGGGUAUUACGGUAUAGAGUCAAUGUGGAGGCUAUAUACAGGGUAUUACGGUAUAGAGUCAAUGUGGAGGCUAUAUACAGGGUAUUACGGUAUAGAGGCAAUGUGGAGGCUAUAUACAGGGUAUUACGGUAUAGAGUCAAUGUGGAGGCUAUAUACAGGGUAUUACGGUAUAGAGUCAAUGUGGAGGCUAUAUACAGGGUAUUACGGUAUAGAGUCAAUGUGGAGGCUAUAUACAGGGUAUUACGGUACAGAGUCAGUGUGGAGGCUAUAUACAGGGUAUUACGGUACAGAGUCAAUGUGGAGGUUAUAUACAGGGUAUUACGGUAUAGAGUCAAUGUGGAGGCUAUAUACAGGGUAUUACGGUACAGAGUCAGUGUGGAGGCUAUAUACAGGGUAUUACGGUAUAGAGUCAAUGUGGAGGCUAUAUACAGGGUAUUACGGUACAGAGUCAAUGUGGAGGCUAUAUACAGGGUAUUACGGUACAGAGUCAGUGUGGAGGCUAUAUACAGGGUAUUACGGUACAGAGUCAAUGUGGAGGCUAUAUACAGGGUAUUACGGUACAGAGUCAAUGUGGAGGCUAUAUACAGGGGGUACCGGUACAGAGUCAAUGUGGAGGCUAUAUACAGGGGGUACCGGUACAGAGUCAAUGUGGAGGCUAUAUAUACAGGGUAUUACGGUACAGAGUCAGUGUGGAGGCUAUAUACAGGGUAUUACGGUACAGAGUCAGUGUGGAGGCUAUAUACAGGGUAUUACGGUACAGAGUCAGUGUGGAGGCUAUAUACAGGGUAUUACGGUACAGAGUCAAUGUGGAGGCUAUAUACAGGGGGUACCGGUACAGAGUCAAUGUGGAGGCUAUAUACAGGGGGGUACCGGUACAGAGUCAAUGUGGAGGCUAUAUACAGGGGGGUACCGGUACAGAGACAAUGUGGAGGCUAUAUACAGGGGGUACCGGUACCAAGUCAAUGUGGAGGCUAUAUACAGGGGGUACUGGUACAGAGACAAUGUGGAGGCUAUAUACAAGGGGUACCAGUACAGAGUCAAUGUGUCAAGGUAA
This 1266-nucleotide long non-coding RNA is filed under the name Oncorhynchus kisutch (coho salmon). Its description in RNAcentral is "lncRNA (ENSOKIG00005015508.1)". The record is from RNAcentral. Lineage: Eukaryota; Metazoa; Chordata; Actinopteri; Salmoniformes; Salmonidae.